Molecule: long non-coding RNA, 425 nt
Organism: Sesamum indicum (sesame)
Lineage: Eukaryota; Viridiplantae; Streptophyta; Magnoliopsida; Lamiales; Pedaliaceae
Source: RefSeq, a predicted model, not a curated record
CAGCUAUGAGUCUCUGCACCUGUAAGUGGUUACAUCAAAAUGGUAGUCAACUCAUUGUAACUGUAACACUCAAAGCAUCAUCUGCCACUAGAAAAGAGGGGCACAUGAAGUGAAUAUAGGAGUUAAAUCAACCACAGGCGUACACUCUGCCACUGAUGUAUCUAAAGUUUCUUGCUUCUUGCCAGCAUCUUCUCCUUGCAUGGGUCCACAAUCCUCAUCUUUGUAACAUUCGUUUAUCGUUGCAGUCCCAAUUAGCCCGUAACCAUCUCGAUGUGUUGGAAAGGAACUUAAUGAGUCAUCCAUUGCAGGUACAAGAGCUUUGUCAUCAAACUCAGAGACUUCAUCAAAGCCAUGCGGUCGCAAUGAGUUAGAUUUGGUUCUUGAAUUCCCUGAAACACAUGGAUUUUGAUAAUUGCUGGAUUCCA